UUUGGCAGACUUUGAUGUCACGAUUGUUCUACUGUGAACCUGUUUAAGCGUUAUAUCUCCGACUAUGUCACCGCUGUGUACUUAAACAAUCUCGAUAGACGCAAUAUGGAGGACUUACUAUGUUUACUGUUCCUACUUCUCACAGCGAACGUGGAAUCUUAAUGUAGGAUGAAACCGGCGAACCCGAAGAAACCUUUGUGAUCGGGCAGGUGACUGAACACAUUUACACGCCCGCCGAAAACAGAACUAUUUUACAUCAAGGGGAGACAGAUCUGCCUCUAGUGUCUUUAAACCAACUUUGUAACCAGGUUGGACUCAUCGAUUGUGAUACCGAGUACGUCAGCCACGGAGACGAACAGACGUGUGGAAUGGACGGAAUAACGUAUGAUAAUUUUUGCCACUACAGUAAAGCUCGAUGUUCCGACGUUAACUUAGGUAUAGCCAAUGUUGGCAGUUGUAUUGAAAAUGAUCCUAGGAGUACCUCACCGCCUGACCACACGAGUAAGCCAAAUUCCGACGUCAUAAUACAGUUUUUUUGUAAAAAUGCUGAUAACAUUGACUGUACAUUGGAAGAUCGAGAGCCAUACUGUGGUAGCAACGGCAUGUUUUACUUAAACAUGUGUGCCUUAGCAAAAGCAAAAUGUACAGAACCAAACCUGGAAUCGCAAANUGAAAU
This 676-nucleotide unclassified non-coding RNA is filed under the name Mizuhopecten yessoensis (Yesso scallop). Its description in RNAcentral is "tomoregulin-2-like, transcript variant X1". The record is from RNAcentral. Lineage: Eukaryota; Metazoa; Mollusca; Bivalvia; Pectinida; Pectinidae.